UGAUAUGACUUAGUGGCGGGCGGGUGAGUAACACGUGAGCAACCUGCCUUUCAGAGGGGGAUAACGGCUGGAAACGGUCGCUAAUACCGCAUGAUGUGUUCGGAUGGCAUCAUCUGAACAUCAAAGAUUUAUCGCUGAAAGAUGGGCUCGCGUCUGAUUAGAUAGUUGGUGGGGUAACGGCCUACCAAGUCAACGAUCAGUAGCCGGACUGAGAGGUUGAACGGCCACAUUGGGACUGAGAUACGGCCCAGACUCCUACGGGAGGCAGCAGUGGGGAAUAUUGCACAAUGGGGGAAACCCUGAUGCAGCAACGCCGCGUGAAGGAUGACGGUUUUCGGAUUGUAAACUUCUUUUCUUAGUGACGAAGACAGUGACGGUAGCUAAGGAAUAAGCAUCGGCUAACUACGUGCCAGCAGCCGCGGUAAUACGUAGGAUGCAAGCGUUAUCCGGAUUUACUGUGUGUAAAGGGAGCGCAGGCGGGACUGCAAGUUGGAUGUGAAAUACCGUGGCUUAACCACGGAACUGCAUCCAAAACUGUAGUUCUUGAGUGAAGUAGAGGCAAGCGGAAUUCCGAGUGUAGCGGUGAAAUGCGUAGAUAUUCGGAGGAACACCAGUGGCGAAGGCGGCUUGCUGGGCUUUAACUGACGCUGAGGCUCGAAAGUGUGGGGAGCAAACAGGAUUAGAUACCCUGGUAGUCCUCACUGUAGACGAUGAUAGCUAGGUGUGGGGGGUCUGACCCCUUCCGUGCCGGAGUUAACGCAAUAAGCUAUCCACCUGGGGAGUACGACCGCAAGGUUGCAACUCAAAGGAAUUGACGG
Molecule: ribosomal RNA, 818 nt
Filed under: uncultured Bacillota bacterium
Lineage: Bacteria; Bacillati; Bacillota
Description: bacterial SSU rRNA
Rfam family: Bacterial small subunit ribosomal RNA
Source: RNAcentral